Molecule: ribosomal RNA, 253 nt
Filed under: uncultured bacterium
Lineage: Bacteria
Description: partial 16S ribosomal RNA
Rfam family: Bacterial small subunit ribosomal RNA
Source: RNAcentral
UACGUUGGUGGCAAGCGUUGUCCGGAAUUAUUGGGCGUAAAGCGCGCGCAGGCGGUCCUUUAAGUCUGACGUGAAAGCCCACGGCUCAACCGUGGAGGGUCAUUGGAAACUGGAGGACUUGAGUACAGAAGAGGAAAGCGGAAUUCCACGUGUAGCGGUGAAAUGCGUAGAGAUGUGGAGGAACACCAGUGGCGAAGGCGGCUUUCUGGUCUGUAACUGACGCUGAGGCGCGAAAGCGUGGGGAGCAAACAGG